GUGAACAAUUAAGGGCGCGCGGUGGAUGCCUAGGCUCUCGGAGGCGAUGAAGGACGCGAUAAGCCGCGAUAGGCCACGGCGAGGUGCAAGUAACCCUUGACCCGUGGAUUUCCGAAUGGGGCAACCCGGCCGUCUAGAUGACGGUCAUGCAGUAAUGCAAGCGAACGCGGGGAACUGAAACAUCUCAUUACCCGCAGGAGAAGAAAACAAAAUGUGAUUCCCCCAGUAGUGGCGAGCGAACGGGGAAGAGCCCAAACCGUUGCCGUUUCGGCGACAGCGGGGUCAUGGGACCGCGACAUUCGACGGAAGACGAAGUGCAAUUACCUGGAAAGGUAAGCCGUGGAGGGUGACAGCCCCGUGCACGACACCUCUUUCGAAGAUAGCGGGAUCCCGAGUAGGGCGGGACACGAGAAAUCCUGCCUGAAUUCGCCAGGACCGCCUGGCAAGGCUAAAUACUCCCGAGAGACCGAUAGUGAACCAGUACCGCGAGGGAAAGGUGAAAAGUACCCCGAGCAGGGGGGUGAAAUAGACCCUGAACCCGCGCGCCUACAAGCGGUCGGAGCCAUGAAAUAUGGUGACGGCGUGCCUUUUGCAUAAUGAGCCUACGAGUUAGUCGUCACCAGCGAGGUUAAGGGCUUCAGGCCCGUUAGCCGAAGUGAAAGCGAGCCUUAACAGGGCGUCGAGUUGGUGGCGCUAGACG
RNAcentral lists this ribosomal RNA (700 nucleotides) under Butyricimonas faecihominis. RNAcentral describes it as "partial 23S ribosomal RNA". It matches the Rfam family "Bacterial large subunit ribosomal RNA", at positions 1 to 715 of the family's 2925-position model. Lineage: Bacteria; Pseudomonadati; Bacteroidota; Bacteroidia; Bacteroidales; Odoribacteraceae. The record is from RNAcentral.